RNAcentral lists this ribosomal RNA (425 nucleotides) under uncultured bacterium. RNAcentral describes it as "partial 16S ribosomal RNA". It matches the Rfam family "Bacterial small subunit ribosomal RNA", at positions 355 to 767 of the family's 1533-position model. The record is from RNAcentral.
UGGGGAAUAUUGCACAAUGGGCGCAAGCCUGAUGCAGCCAUGCCGCGUGUGUGAAGAAGGCCUUCGGGUUGUAAAGCACUUUCAGCGAGGAGGAAGGUGGUGAGCUUAAUACGCUCAUCAAUUGACGUUACUCGCAGAAGAAGCACCGGCUAACUCCGUGCCAGCAGCCGCGGUAAUACGGAGGGUGCAAGCGUUAAUCGGAAUUACUGGGCGUAAAGCGCACGCAGGCGGUUUGUUAAGUCAGAUGUGAAAAUCCCCGGGGCUCAACCUGGGAACUGCAUUUGAAACUGGCAAGCUAGAGUCUCGUAGAGGGGGGUAGAAUUCCAGGUGUAGCGGUGAAAUGCGUAGAGAUCUGGAGGAAUACCGGUGGCGAAGGCGGCCCCCCUGGANGAAGACUGACGCUCAGGUGCGAAAAGGCGUGGGGG